Molecule: RNA transcript, 1683 nt
Organism: Rhinichthys klamathensis goyatoka
Lineage: Eukaryota; Metazoa; Chordata; Actinopteri; Cypriniformes; Leuciscidae
Gene: panx1b
Gene name: pannexin 1b
Exons: 8
Source: RefSeq, a predicted model, not a curated record
CCGUGCGCGUAACCCUGCCCACCGGAACUAGCGGUGCACUUGACAAAGCCUUAAUUUCAUCUUAACAAUGGCUAUAGCGCGCGUUGCGACUGAAUAUGUGUUUUCUGAUUUUUUAUUGAAAGAACAGAGUGAAUCUAAGUAUAAAGGCGUGCGGCUGGAACUGGCCACAGACAAACUGGUCAGUUUUGUCGCGGUUGGGCUUCCUUUGUUACUCAUCUCACUCGCCUUUGCGCAAGAAGUCUCUGUGGGUACUCAGAUCACAUGUUUUCCACCCACUAACUUCACAUUGAGACAGGCUGCGUAUGUGGACUCCUUUUGCUGGGCCGCAGUGGAGCAUCACCCUACAGACAAUGGGGCUGAUAGCGCCCCCCUUCAUCUACACAAGUUCUUCCCUUAUAUCCUUCUGCUGGUCGCCGUCCUCCUGUAUAUUCCUGCUCUCUUCUGGCGUUUCACGGCUACCCCUUCCCUAUCCUCUGAUCUCAGUUUUAUCAUGGAGGAACUUGACCGUUGCUACAACCGUGCCAUCCGCCUGGCCAAGAGCCUCACAAUCAAACAAGACAAAGACAUUGCAGAAGACCCACACAGUGGUCUGGAACUGACUGAAGCUUGUUUUAAGUACCCUCUGGUAGAGCAGUACUUGAAGACAAAACGCUUAUCAUGGGCUUUGGCUGCAAAAUAUCUACUUUGUCGGGUUUUAACAUUCCUCACUUUACUGCUGGCCUGCUCUUAUCUGACCUACUACAUCCUUUGGGUUUCACCCAGUGAUCAAUUCUCCUGUAACCUGCGCAGAGGUAUUUUAGUUAACGAGAGUGUGGUGCCAGAUGCAGUUCAGUGUAAGCUGGUGGCAGUGGGUGUUUUUCGUCUCCUAAGUUGCAUGAAUCUGGUGGUGUAUUUACUGUUAGUGCCGGCUGUGGUUUACGCUGCCUUCCAACCUGCUCGCCAGCACCAGCGCGCUCAGUUCCUCCGUCCAUACCACCUACUGCCUGCUUUCGGACACGUGCUGGAUUUGCAGCCUACUACCCGGCGCUAUGAUGACCUCAGCAUCUACCUGCUGUUCUUGGAGGAAAACUUGAGUGAGCUUAAGAGCUACAAAUGUUUGCAGGUUUUAGAGCUGCUGUCGGACGGAGGGGAAGCCCCGUUUGACACCAUGUGUCUCCUCAGGACUCUAGGACAAGUGAGGACUGACAUGGUGGACAGAAAACAAGCCCAAACUGUCAAUGGAAAUGCAGAGAAAGAAAUCUCUGAUAUAAAGGAUGUCUCUUCUGUUUUGCUGGAUGAUGGAGUAAGCUGCAGCUGUGUGAAAGAUGUAAGACACAGGGUGGUCUAACAUAUUACACUAAUAGUGUACAUGUAUGUAAGCAUCUAUAAUCAUCAGGUAAAUCCGUUUUCAAAAGCUGUACUUCUGACAUAAACUGUUAAAGUCAGUCAAAUCACAUUGCAAAAAAAUGAUUUACAUGUAAAUUGAAUGUGAAGGUAAGAUUAUAUAAUGCUUGAAUAUUACACUGAGAUCAUUUACUAACUGCAAAACUGAGCUGCAUGUUUUCUAUGCUUGACAUGAACAGAAAUUAGAUGAAUGUUUUUUAUUACUUCAUCAAGUUAAUAUUUAUUAAGUUGAUGAAAUGUUGCUUAACAUUUGAAUGCAUUGUGAAAGAAAUGUUACAACAUAUAUUCUCGGGUGUCCUU